This is a non-coding RNA of Vicia faba (fava bean), 318 nucleotides long. NCBI's taxonomy places the organism in Eukaryota, Viridiplantae, Streptophyta, Magnoliopsida, Fabales, Fabaceae. The record is from the annotation of a GenBank genome assembly.
AUGACCAUAAUAAGAUUAUUACUUUCCAUUGCAGCCUCCUCUAAUUGGCAUAUUCACCAAUUGGACAUUAAUACUGUCUUUCUUCAUGGAGAUCUUGAAGAAGAGGUCUAUAUGAAACCUUCUCCUAGCAUGAAUAUUCAUGUCCACAUUGUCUACAAACUCAACAAGUCUAUUUAUGGAUUCAAACAGGUCACCCAUCAAUGGAACCACAAGCUAACAACUACUUUAUUUAACAUGGGUUACUGUCAUACCCUAGUUUGGCCCCAAGGUCAUUCAUUCAUUGCAUUUGCGUCAUCGGUUGGUCAUUCAUGUAUUUAG